Molecule: unclassified non-coding RNA, 390 nt
Filed under: Hevea brasiliensis (rubber tree)
Lineage: Eukaryota; Viridiplantae; Streptophyta; Magnoliopsida; Malpighiales; Euphorbiaceae
Source: RNAcentral
ACAGACCCAACGCCCAAAGCUCCCUCAACCCGAUUAAAAUGAUGUGAGCAUUUAGAGUAACCCGACCGAAUUGAAUUUGCCCGGCACAUAAACCGACACCAACCUUCGCAAACCUAACUGUGUUAUCGGGAUGAUUCAGGAAACAGACCAAUCCGACCCGACCCAAAUAUAUACAAACCCUAGUAUUUAUGAGCCUUUUCCUCCACCCUUUCAUCUCGCGCUCCUUAGGUUGGCCGCUGAUCAGUUCUCUGCUUCAGGGAGAAAUGGCUGAAGAAACUAAGGCAGCGGCUAUUAUCCCUGAAUCUGUGUUAAAGAAAAGGAAGAGAAGUGAGGAAUGGUCCUUGUUGAAGAACCAAGAACUGAAGGUAAAGAAGGAAAAAAAUGCUGAAA